This 5033-nucleotide long non-coding RNA is filed under the name Bemisia tabaci. RNAcentral describes it as "lncRNA ENSSSA2NGG000019". Lineage: Eukaryota; Metazoa; Arthropoda; Insecta; Hemiptera; Aleyrodidae. The record is from RNAcentral.
UUUAGUUUCACAGUAUGUCAAAGUAAUCCAUACUAUUUAGUUUUCCAUUUGAAAAUUCUGCAAAAAAAAUUGCUGAUUUAGCCAAAAUACUCUCACAAAAUUUUUGUCUCAAACAUUCCUACAUAGCCAAGAAAAAUAUCCUCAAGUCGGAUAUAGUCAUUAUUGUGAACUAGUAUAAAUUCUUUCUCUAAAAACGGCAUAUGCAGAAGGGAAAAUUAUGAAAAGGGAGUGGUUCACCUUGUUGUUGGAGAUGUAUAGUAAUUAGGCCGAGUCAAAUAUUAUCUUUCAUAUUAAUAUGCAUCAGUAAAAUUUUCAAUAUUUUUUUCAUUGACUUGUGAUUCAUUGACUCAGAUAAUCUGUGUUUUUAGAUUACUGCUAUACCACUGAAUAAUUGAGUCACCGCAGCUAAUUGAGAUAUAAGUGCAUACUUCGCUCAAGCUAAAAUCAUAUUAAAUCAGAAUAUUCCAUGUAAUUUUUGAGGCUCCCCCCCCCCCUUAAGUCGUUUUUAGCCUUCAAAUAUUUGUCAAUUCAUUGGCUUUUUUAAAUUUUUUCUUAAAAUCUUAUUUUAUUUCUUUAUUUUGGGCACAAUACUUUAUCACUACUCCCACUCUAUCUUUUCCCCUCUAAAAGUGUUGGAAGUCAUUUCCUAUGAUUUAUCAAUAGCCUCAUAUUUCUCGCUUCAGUGCAAUAGAUAGAUGUAACUGUCUGUGUCUCUUGUAUUUGUGUCUCACAUGUAGUUCAGUGCUUUUUUUAAUCAUAAACUGUGAUCGCAUGCUUAUUCAUUUCAGAUCAGUAUUGGCUGCAGGCAUGAAAAAACCUCUUAUUACUGCUGAUAGAUCCUCCAAGUUAUUGAAACAGGAGGCAUGCAGUAGAUUUUCAAUGGAGCCGAAUGAAUUUUUCAAUGUGCCGAGUCUGCCUGGUGGCUCACCCGGGGUGUUACCACAUUCUAGAAAAUUGUCACCAGCCAGUCACCCGUUUCAUGCAGAAUCCAAUUCAUCUUUGCAGGCCCAGUUGGCGAGUAUCUCUCAGGCCUUAAUUAAUAAAACUCCUAUCACAAUGCAUCAAUUACUCUCUUUAAGAAGCUGCUAUGAGGUACUUGAUCUUUCUGUUGUUUUUAGUAUUGCUGAUUUUUGAUUGAUAUUAAGUGUCUGUCUUGUCAGUAGGCUCCAUUUUUGCACUGAUUAUUUGAUGAUCCUUCCUUGCAAAGUUUUCUAAAAUUUAACCAUGAAUGGAGCAUUAAGGUGAAAUAAUACAGUAAAGCAUUAAGCAAAUAAGUAUCCAGUAAACCCUGGAUGACACUGCCAGUCUUCCAUCCGAAUUAUGUUAAGUAUACCUUCCUUUUAUUUUGUAAAAGUUGAUUCGUGAACUUGUUGCUCCAAUUGUUUUGUUCGUGAACUUUUCUAGAAAAAGUAUGUUUAUUCACAUAGAGCCUGAAUUCGUUUCUGAUAAAGCGGAUAAGUAUUUGCACUGUUGUGGAAAUUUCUGUCAAAAAACCAGUUGGAAUAUUUGUCUCUGGUGAAAGUCUCUGAAUGACAUUCCUCUCAUUCAGGCCAAUGUACAUUAUUUAUGUCGAAGUCCUAUUAGUUUUUAUUUCUCCAUUAUUUUGACUGGUGAUUUUUAUUUAUAUUUUAGUAACUGAUAGCACCACUUAUUUUACAUUGUUUGUCACUUACCUCUUUAUUCCAGCAAACUGAUACCCAAAACAAACAUUUGAUUGAUACUCUGUGCGUGGAACUACAACAGUCACAUCUCACAGCCAAAAAUUAGGAAAAUUAGAUCCUAAACUUCAAGUUUUUUAUCCUCAAUGUGAGUCUUAGUUUAAUUUCUUUAUCUUUCAGUAAUCAGGAAGCUAUCAGCACUUGUGAAAAGUUGAAAUAUUUUUGAACAGUGUAAUAUAUAAACAAGAUUUGGUAUUUAUUACACCUGCCUUUUGAUUACCAUGUCUUACACCAGAAAAAAUCCAUGGAAAAGACUUUUUAGCUAGUUCCUUAUUGGACUAAUACUAAUACUAUAAUAAUCUUCCAACAAUUUUCUGUUCAUAUCCUCCUCUUGUGUAUCAGCAGAAAAAGCUUAUUUCUCCCUUUACUGACUCUCCCCUAAUUUAUUUUGAGGAGUUUUACUGUUACUAAAAUGAGGCAGAAAUCGUACAUAUUUCUUCAUUGCAAAAUGUAGUCCAAAUAUCCAGGAAAAGAAGCUAGUUUGCAUGGACUGAUUUUAAUUCAGUUGUGUAGACGCAGGAAUGCAAUCGGAUUAUCAGUCAAUUCUUUUAAAUUUAGGUUCAUUAGACUCAUUAUUUUAGUUGAUUAUUUACACUUUACAACUCUUUUUUUUUUUUUGUUUGCCUAUUUUAAAUAUUUGAUGAGAAUUUUUCUUCUUUAAUACUUUGCCGUUUGUUUUGUUGUGUCCUUGAAUCAAUCAAAAUAUAUUAAUUGAUGGGUUAUGUGAAUAUUCUGAAAACUUAGCUUCCAUUAGAGGGAGUGAAAAUUAAGUAGUUCAGAAAAAUUAGGAUGGGGGAGGGGCCAAGUUUGAAAACAUGUCAGUUGUCCUAAUUUUUCAGUGCCAUAUUUUAACGCUGUAUAUUUCUGCAAGUUAGUCAUAGAAACAGGGGAGAGGUAAAAGGUAGACAAUAUUUAUUCUCUUUUUAGUAUGAUGAUCUUUGUCUCCAAUAUUGAAAAUAGUGGUGUUUUGAAAUGCUCAUGUCAAAUCUAGCCUGUGGAAGCAGUUAUUUGAGAGCCUCUCGGAAGUUAAACUUUCGAUAAUUUUCAGCACCAUCAAAAAAUGUAUACGACUCAGAAACUCAGUGAAAUUCUGUCACUGACAAAAGAAAUGCACUUGUAUGCAAUCUAAGGCUUUUUGUCAAAGUUACAUGAAUGAAAUUUGCUUUCUUUCACAGCAAAGAGUUCACAGACUACUCUCUUCUCUCAUCAAAUAGAUCCUAUAAUUUGCUUUUAUCAAUUAUUUCGACUUUAAUCUGGAUCACAAAUAAUUGAAGCCUAACAUGUAAAUCGCCUAUGAAUUUUUUUUCCUUGCACCAAAGUGAUGAUUUUUCGACUUGACCGUGUAAAUCAUCCCCUUAAUAUUCCAUCUGAGCGUUUUUCCAUCUUUACAUAUUAUGCUCUUAUUCAGGAGAGGAGUGAAAUUCUUCAAUGUUUAAAAACAUGAUGCGAAAAUAUCUUUCAUUGUUUUAAAAUUAUUACGUUUAUUUCUCAAGGUCUAGACUAUGGUGGUGAUUCGAACAGUCAAGCAGUGUACACCAGCAAUAUGGCAAUGCGGCAAAGUCUUUCAAAUUUAGCUUCAGACAAAGUUCGCUCCGCACUGAGUUCUUUGUUGAAGAAUGCUAAUUUACCUGCUCUCGUUCCGAAUGGCAAUGCAGGUAAGUUGUGAGCUUUUUGAGGUUGUGUUCUUUUCAGGAUGGCAAUUUUGUUUUGAGUUUUUGAGACCUAUGUUUUUCCUUUUUCCCUCUUUCCAUUUUCAAAUAUAUUUCAAAUGUAUUUUUCCCCCCUUUUUUUUUUCAUACCUUGACUAGCUGGACAAGACUUCAAACAAAUUAGUCACUCAAAAAGUAGGUGUGUAAAAAAAAACAAAGCUUAACAGAGAAAUGGUUGUAUCCUGUUAUUUAGUUGAAGCAUGAUUUUAAGCAAGCUGAAAUCAAGCUGCCCGAACUGAUACAAUUAGUAAAUAAAUCAGCUCUCAAUUAAAGAGCUGUUGCUCUUGGUGUUUCCGAAUGUAAUGAACUACUGUCCAGCAUUUCACCCUCCAAAGACAAUUGGAGUAACAUCAGAACCGUUUUUAAAAUAGUUCGGAAUUUUUUCUCUGUCAAUUUUAUGCGAAGGAAUUUCAAAAUUACCUUUCAUUCUGUCACCCAAUGCCUAUCUUGAAGUAUCUUUGCAACUGUCAAGCUCCUCAAUUACAUUGUGUCAUUUUAAGUUCAAGUCGUAAUUUCGAUAAUUAAAGGGUAAUGAUAUUAAUGGUCUGCAAGGUAACAGUUUUCAAACCAACAUAAGUCUUUUCAUCGGGAUAAAGAGAAAUUAAUUGAUUUUUUUUUUUUCGGGGUCAGGAGAUAAAUAAGUAUUAUAUUCUUCACUUCUAUUUUGGAUUCUUACUCGAGCAUUUUGACUGUAAAACUAAACAGUGCAGGUGCAACUUUUUCAGCAUCAAUGCUAAAAGAUAAUAAAGUUAGGUAUCAUUUAAUGAUGAUUUGAAUUUUGUUUGUGACUUUGUCUUUCAACUAAAGAUUUAAAUAUGUCAAUGGCUAAAUAUUCAGCUUCUUGAAGUGAUACUUUAUGUCAUGUUAAAAUUUUUUUAAUGUAACCUUUCUAUCAAUAACUUUAUAGAUGAGAAGUUAUGUAGGAAACUUUCCCCCUUUUUAUCUCUCUCAGCCAUGCGUUUCAGGAAGACCAGUCGUUGACUUUGAAGUAUUACCAUAUCGACUCAUUGCGGCGACUGGUCUCUCUAUUUCUGUUUUCUAUUUUUCUUUUAUUUCUUUCCAUCUCUGAAUUGAGGCACUUUUGCUGUUGCAACAAUUAUUUUUUUGCUGAAUAGUGUAAGGAAUUGCUCUAAUUAAACUUUUUACCUUUAUUGGAAAAGAAAGUCCGUGGUCACAUUACAGCAGAUAGUGUGGGGAAGGGGUUUUACAAGAACUGUUUCUUUUUACAACAGAAGGAGAAACAAGAAGAAAUAUUCAAGAGAAAAAUAGGAAAGGAAAGAUAACCAAAAAUGAAAGAAUAAGGUAUGUUUCAUCAAGCAAUUUAUGUGAGUGCCAUCGUUUCCAAAGGACACGUUUCGCUGUUAUCUCUUACUUUGUUUCAUACAGUUUCCUAGGAUGAUCUGGGCUCCUUUUCCUGCAUUAUGCUUUCUGCCAAAGCAAAUGGUUCAUGAGUAUUUAAAUUCAAUAACACUGAAAAUAAUUGUUUUUACAGGGGAUGUGGGUUAUUAAAGCUCAAACAUUAUACAUCUACUGCAUUUGUAUGGUGCUAACUAUGAAUUAUUUUUAUUUCUUUUCGUCAUUGAAUAUGGAUAGUAAUUUUUUGAGA